CCUCUCGCGUUUUCUCUCUUGCUCCUGUUCGCAUUCCUAUUCAUUCACUUCUUCCUCAGCUCUCGCGGUCUCUCCUUUCGUUGAUGUUGUCCCAUCCCUCGCAUAGCUCUCCUCCCCGCUCUCAUGGCCCUCGAUUACACCCGUUGUUGCUCCGGAUUGCGAGCUCAAGUGUAGGGUUUGGGUUUUCAAUGUCCGCUUCCUCCAUGUUUUUUUUGUCCACAUCUUUGCCUUCUUCGGCGCCUGUAGCGGCGCCAGCGACCAAGAUUUGCUUCAACACUCAGUGGAAGGAGUUUACAGAGGAUCAUAUAACGCCUUGUAGGAGGGGCUAGUGCCUCGGCUCAGGAGCGAUAGCCGAGCUCUGCACCACUGCUCAUCUGCGUUUGAGCAAGGAAUCUUCUGCGAGAUGUUUCAUUCCAAUGAUUCUGGUUGGAGGAACUGUGAGACAGCAAGAGAGUGCAUUGUUGGUGUAUCACAUCAGCUCAGUCUUAUGGUUUUCUUGACACGGGGGGAAUUGAGUGCAUUCCAUGCCCUAGGAAAGCUCUAGCAACGGCACCAAAUCAAAUAUCAUCUUCUCUGAUGUUUGUGCAACAACAUGUGCCUGAAAGGAGAGAUUCACUUGCUAAAUCCUGGAGAUCAAUGGCUAAUCCAUUGUCUGGACAGUGGCGUCAAGUUUCGCAUAUGUGGAAUAUGACAAUGCAGUCUGAUUUGCAACAAAGAUUAUCACAUGAAUUUGAUAGACCUAGUAGAUUGAGAAAUUGGCACCUGGAGGUCUCCAUUCUAUUGCAACACACGAAAAGAAAUUUCAGCCAGAGAGAAAAUUUUCUACCGACCUUGACAAAUUUCUUACUUGAGAAAAUCAUCCUAUGUCUACAAGGAAAUCAUAAAGGAUCCGAUGAAGCUUUCGCUACUCCAUUAUCAAAGCAGUUUUACCCACAGUGUGUGAAUGAAACUGAACUGCAAUCUCAAAUGCGCAAUGGAGAACUCGAGUUGAUGUUUAUCCACAGACACAAUUGCUUCCACGAUAGUGGCCUAGGAUAACAAAUCAAGAGCUACAACAAAUAUCUGGCGAGUCUCCUAUUUUAUGUGUUUUGUCUACAAUCCUCCAUCACUCCCUUGUUUGAAAAGAUGUUAAGUGCUAGUGAUGCUGGGCAGAUUGGACGACUUGUGCUUCCAAAGAAAUGUCCAGAGCCUGAAGAACUUCCUGUAAAAGUUCAGAAUGCAAGUGGAAAAGAUUGAAUAUUCCAAUUCAAUUUUGGCCUAACAACAGUGGAUGUAUGUUUUGGAGGGCGUUACACCUUGUAUUCAGGCAAUGCAACUGCAAGCAGACACAGGAACUAAAGAAGCAAGUGUAUUUACUACUGACAUUGCUUUUGCUGAUCUCUUGCACAAAGAAAUUUUCCCCUCAUGUUGCUCACCUCAUUUCGGACGAUACAUGGUGUUUUAGAUUUCAGAUCCUUUUCCUGAAUUUCUUAUUUACGUCUCCAGUAGUAUAUACUUUGAGUUUCUUGGUUCUUUCCAUGUCUGAAAACACCCGCUGGGCCAGAACUUUUAGAUGUGUUUCGCCUGACAAUGAGAUAAUUGGAAUUGAUUUAGGAACCACAAAUUCUUGUAUUUCUAUUAUGGAAGGAAAGGUUAGUCCCUUUGUUACUAUUAUUUUUAGUUCAUCUGAAAAUUAAAUUAUUUAACAUGCUGUGCAGAAUGUUAAAAUUAUAGAAAAUUAAGAAAGAGCAUGUACUACCCCUUCAUUUAUAGCUUUCAGCCACAAUGGUGAAGUGCUUGUUGGAGCCCUAGCACAGCAUAUGUCACUCACAAAUCUUACGAACAUAAUUUUUGCAACCAAGUAACUGAUAAUCUGUCACAUCGAUGAUCCUCAAAUGCAGAAAGAAAUGAAUAUUGUUCCUUUUAAAACUGUCAAAGCACCUAACGGGGAUGCAUGGGUUGAAGCCCAUGGUCAACAAUUUUUUCCUAAAUUGGUGCAUUUAUUAAGAUGAAGGAAAUUGCUGAGUCCUACCUUGGAAAAUCCAUUUCGAAGGUAGUGAUUGCAAUUUCUGCAUAUUUCUACAAAGGAUGCCGGGAGGAUUGUUGAUCUUGAUGUGCAAACAAUUAUCAAUGAACCAACAACAAUAACACUUGCGUUUGUAGCUAGGAGGAUUGCUUGUUUUGACGUGCAAAUAAUUAUCAAUGAACACAAUAAUCAAACAUUCU
Molecule: long non-coding RNA, 2205 nt
Organism: Zingiber officinale
Lineage: Eukaryota; Viridiplantae; Streptophyta; Magnoliopsida; Zingiberales; Zingiberaceae
Exons: 8
Source: RefSeq, a predicted model, not a curated record